GCUGGAAUGGUCUAGUUGGUUAUGACGACUGCCUCACACGCAGUAGGUCCCGAGUUCGAUUCUCGGUUCCAGUA
This is a non-coding RNA of Perkinsus marinus ATCC 50983, 74 nucleotides long. The record is from Rfam. NCBI's taxonomy places the organism in Eukaryota, Perkinsozoa, Perkinsida, Perkinsidae.